This is a non-coding RNA of Danio rerio (zebrafish), 1428 nucleotides long. The record is from Ensembl. NCBI's taxonomy places the organism in Eukaryota, Metazoa, Chordata, Actinopteri, Cypriniformes, Danionidae.
AACAUUCAGAGAAAUUAUGUUCCUCCAGGAGUUUGGAGAUCAUCCUAAUAUAAUAAAAUUACUAAACGUCAUCAGAGCCCAAAACGACAAAGAUAUUUACCUUAUAUUUGAAUUCAUGGACACAGACCUACAUGCAGUGAUAAAGAAAGGAAAUCUAUUAAAAGACAUUCAUAAGCGUUAUGUAAUGUACCAACUUCUUAAAGCAACAAAAUAUCUUCAUUCAGGCAAUGUCAUUCACAGAGACCAAAAGCCAUCCAACAUCUUAUUAGACUCAGAUUGCUUCGUGAAGCUGUGUGAUUUCGGUUUAGCGAGGUCUCUGUACCAAAUCCAAGAGGAUGCUGGGAAUCCUGCAUUAACAGAGUAUGUUGCAACACGAUGGUAUCGAGCUCCUGAAAUACUUCUGGGAUCCUCAAGGUACACAAAAGGUGUGGACAUGUGGAGUAUAGGAUGCAUCCUGGCAGAGAUGCUGCUGGGCAAACCACUGUUCCCUGGGACGUCUACCAUUAAUCAAAUAGAAAAAAUCAUGAACGUCAUUCCACAUCCUUCGACAGAGGAUGUGUUGGCCAUCAGAUCAGAGUACGGGGCGUCUGUGAUUCAGAGAAUGCUGCUUAGACCGCAGGUGCCAUUAGAUGAGAUUCUGCCGGCCUCAGUGCCACCUGAUGCCCUUGAUUUACUGCAACGCCUGCUGCUUUUCAAUCCAGACAAGAGACUCAGCGCGGAAGAAGCUCUGCGGCAUCCGUAUGUGUCCAAAUUUCACAACCCAUCCAGCGAGCCCAGUUUGCUCUAUGACGUCAUUUUGCCCGUGGAUGAUGACGUCCAGCUCUCCGUUACACAAUACAGAAACAAACUCUAUGAGAUGAUCGUGGAGAAAAGGGCCAGUCGACAAAUGCAGAAGCAGCCUCAUAUCAGGCAGAAGCUGGAGGAGAAGCCUGCGGAGGUGCAUGUGGACGGUGGAUUAACCAGAAGCAGUGAAGCAGAUGGUUCAGUCAAACCUCCGUCUCAUCUGAGAUUAGUGAAGAGGAAUCAGGAGAGCGCUGGUGUUCUGCCUGCAGAGGGUGCUAACGGGCCUGUGGCUGCAGACCCACGCGGUCGAUCGGCUCCUGUUGGUCGCACACACUCUUUCUCUCUCACACUCGCGCAGCCACUGAAUAAUCCCCUGAUCCGCAAGGAUGAAGCCAUUGUUUCCCCCGGGCUGUGUGUCACCUCUGCAUGCUUGCCAACGCACGGACAAUAUUUCUGCCGGUGUUUCAUAAGAAAACGGCAUAUUUCACUGCGCGUCGUUUAAACUCAAAGGGUUUGGUCCUGGCCCUGGCCCAUACCCACAGAUGCCAUAUCCACAGAUGCCAUACCCGCAAGCGAACUACGCUCAAGGGCCGUACCCUCAGAGCCCAUACCAGCAGGGGCCCGGCCAGCCCGCCUUCGGUGUAG